CGAAACGUCGGCCAUUGCUUCUCUCCAGAGAUGCUGCCGGUCCCGCUGAGUUACUCCAGCUUUGUGUCCAUCUUCAAAUGACGUCACGCGCUCCAGACGGCUGUGCGUACGCAUGGAAUCACGCCCGACCUUCGCCGGACCAUCGUGGCUCAACGCGACCACGAGGUCGCGUAAUUUGCGUGCCAAGGACACGCAAGUGGGACAGGCUCUUCAGCACUCACUAUCAAACAAACCAAAGCCU
Long non-coding RNA from Amblyraja radiata (thorny skate), 241 nucleotides. RefSeq lists it as uncharacterized. The record is from RefSeq and is a predicted model, not a curated record. The transcript is spliced from 3 exons. Lineage: Eukaryota; Metazoa; Chordata; Chondrichthyes; Rajiformes; Rajidae.